Molecule: long non-coding RNA, 226 nt
Organism: Oxyura jamaicensis (ruddy duck)
Lineage: Eukaryota; Metazoa; Chordata; Aves; Anseriformes; Anatidae
Exons: 3
Source: RefSeq, a predicted model, not a curated record
AGAGGUCCUUUGAAUUGUCAUCACCAAUAAAAUAACUAUUUUCCUCCUGAAAUUCCACAGACUAGUCUUUACUAUUGAACUAUGUUCAGGAACGUAAGGAAAAAAAAAAAAAUACAAAAAUAAAAUGUGCAAAACACAGAAAAGCUGGGGAAGAAAACAGGUGUAGGGAUGACUCCCUGUUGGGAUUUCCCAGGGUGCAAGUUACAGCCCUCGGUACCUGAGUAAA